RNAcentral lists this ribosomal RNA (759 nucleotides) under uncultured bacterium. Its description in RNAcentral is "bacterial SSU rRNA". It matches the Rfam family "Bacterial small subunit ribosomal RNA", at positions 28 to 776 of the family's 1533-position model. The record is from RNAcentral.
AUUGAACGCUGGCGGCAGGCUUAACACAUGCAAGUCGGACGGUAACAGGGAGAAGCUUGCUUCUUUGCUGACGAGUGGCGGACGGGUGAGUAAUGCUUGGGAAUCUGUUUUAUGGAGGGGGAUAACUACGGGAAACUGUAGCUAAUACCGCGUAAUAUCGAGAGAUUAAAGUGUGGGACCGUAAGGCCACAUGCCAUAGAGUGAGCCCAAGUGGGAUUAGGUAGUUGGUGGGGUAAAGGCCUACCAAGCCGUCGAUCUCUAGCUGGUCUGAGAGGAUGACCAGCCACACUGGGACUGAGACACGGCCCAGACUCCUACGGGAGGCAGCAGUGGGGAAUAUUGCACAAUGGGCGCAAGCCUGAUGCAGCCAUGCCGCGUGAAUGAAGAAGGCCUUCGGGUUGUAAAGUUCUUUCGGUGGUGAGGAAGGUUGUAAUGUUAAUAGCAUUAUAAUUUGACGUUAGCCACAGAAGAAGCACCGGCUAACUCCGUGCCAGCAGCCGCGGUAAUACGGAGGGUGCGAGCGUUAAUCGGAAUAACUGGGCGUAAAGGGCACGCAGGCGGAUACUUAAGUGAGGUGUGAAAGCCCUGGGCUUAACCUAGGAAUUGCAUUUCAUACUGGGUAUCUAGAGUAUUUUAGGGAGGGGUAGAGUUCCACGUGUAGCGGUGAAAUGCGUAGAGAUGUGGAGGAAUACCGAAGGCGAAGGCAGCCCCUUGGGGGAAUACUGACGCUCAUGUGCGAAAGCGUGGGGAGCAAACAGG